RNAcentral lists this ribosomal RNA (102 nucleotides) under uncultured bacterium. Its description in RNAcentral is "partial 16S ribosomal RNA". The record is from RNAcentral.
CCGUUCGGGUUGUAAAGCACUUUUGUCAGGAACGAAACGGUCUGGGCUAAUAUCCUGGGCUAAUGACGGUACCUGAAGAAUAAGCACCGGCUAACUACGUGC